ACAGUCUUUAUCCAAAAGAUAUUGAUAUCAAGAAACCAACAGUUCCAUCGAAACCUGCCAAAAAUAUUCCCAAAAUCUCUACUCCAAAAGGCUCUCAAAAGCCUAUCUCCGUUGAUGCUGGUGAUUUUGGUAUCAACAGCCCUUAUCCAAAAGAAAUUGAUAUUAAGAAACCAACAGUUCCAUCGAAACCUGCCAAAAAUAUUCCCAAAAUCUCUAAUCCAAAAGGCUCCCAAAAGCCUAUCUCCGUUGAUCCU
This is a long non-coding RNA of Drosophila elegans, 254 nucleotides long. RefSeq lists it as uncharacterized. NCBI's taxonomy places the organism in Eukaryota, Metazoa, Arthropoda, Insecta, Diptera, Drosophilidae. The record is from RefSeq and is a predicted model, not a curated record. The transcript is spliced from 3 exons.